GAUGAACGCUGGCGGCGUGCCUAAUACAUGCAAGUCGAGCGAACAGAUGAGGAGCUUGCUCCUCUGACGUUAGCGGCGGACGGGUGAGUAACACGUGGAUAACCUACCUAUAAGACUGGGAUAACUUCGGGAAACCGGAGCUAAUACCGGAUAAUAUAUUGAACCGCAUGGUUCAAUAGUGAAAGACGGUUUUGCUGUCACUUAUAGAUGGAUCCGCGCUGCAUUAGCUAGUUGGUAAGGUAACGGCUUACCAAGGCAACGAUGCGUAGCCGACCUGAGGGGGGGAUCGGCCACACUGGAACUGAGACACGGUCCAGGCUCCUACGGGAGGCAGCAGUAGGGAAUCUUCCGCAAUGGGCGAAAGCCUGACGGAGCAACGCCGGGUGGGUGAUGAAGGUCUGCGGAUCGUAAAACUCUGUUAUGAGGGAAGAACAAAUGUGUAAGUAACUAUGCACGUCUGGAGGGAACCGAAGCAGAAGGCCACGGCAAACUACGG
This 496-nucleotide ribosomal RNA is filed under the name uncultured bacterium. RNAcentral's name for it is "partial 16S ribosomal RNA". It matches the Rfam family "Bacterial small subunit ribosomal RNA", at positions 28 to 506 of the family's 1533-position model. The record is from RNAcentral.